UAGAUCAGUCUCAAUGUGGGAACAUC
This 26-nucleotide small RNA is filed under the name Bombyx mori (domestic silkworm). RNAcentral describes it as "ovarian small RNA-22105". The record is from RNAcentral. Lineage: Eukaryota; Metazoa; Arthropoda; Insecta; Lepidoptera; Bombycidae.